UACGUAGGGGGCAAGCGUUAUCCGGAUUUACUGGGUGUAAAGGGAGCGUAGGUGGCGAUGCAAGUCUGGUGUGAAAGCCCAGGGCUCAACCCUGGGACUGCAUUGGAAACUGUGUUGCUAGAGUGCAGGAGAGGUAAGUGGAAUUCCUAGUGUAGCGGUGAAAUGCGUAGAUAUUAGGAGGAACACCAGUGGCGAAGGCGGCUUACUGGACUGUAACUGACACUGAGGCUCGAAAGCGUGGGGAGCAAACAGG
RNAcentral lists this ribosomal RNA (253 nucleotides) under uncultured Clostridiales Family IV bacterium. Its description in RNAcentral is "partial 16S ribosomal RNA". It matches the Rfam family "Bacterial small subunit ribosomal RNA", at positions 524 to 776 of the family's 1533-position model. Lineage: Bacteria; Bacillati; Bacillota; Clostridia; Eubacteriales; Eubacteriales Family IV. Incertae Sedis. The record is from RNAcentral.